UACGUAGGGGGCGAGCGUUGUCCGGAAUGACUGGGCGUAAAGGGCGUGUAGGCGGUCAACUAAGUCUGGAGUGAAAGUCCUGCUUUUAAGGUGGGAAUUGCUUUGGGUACUGGAUGACUUGAGUGCAGAAGAGGUAAGCUGAAUUCCCAGUGUAGCGGUGAAAUGCGUAGAGAUUGGGAGGAACACCAGUGGCGAAGGCGGCUUACUGGGCUGUAACUGACGCUGAGGCGCGAAAGCGUGGGGAGCGAAC
This 250-nucleotide ribosomal RNA is filed under the name uncultured prokaryote. RNAcentral's name for it is "partial 16S ribosomal RNA". It matches the Rfam family "Bacterial small subunit ribosomal RNA", at positions 524 to 773 of the family's 1533-position model. The record is from RNAcentral.